GCCUUUUCAGAUAUACCUGGUUACAUCAUGAUCAGUACAGGUGCAGUGUUGUUAGCUGUUGCUGUGAUUCUAGCCGUCUACUGCAUAAUAAAAUGUCAAGGCUCGGAAACAGUCACACAAUCUCCCAGAGAGACAAAUAUAAACGAUGAAAAUGACCAACAUUCGCUUCCUCUCCAAUCAAGAGAAAAAGACAAUUUACCUGAAUCUGUAUAUCAGAGUCUAGACACAACCACAAACCAAUCAGAUUCAGUCUACCAGAGUCUGACCUCAGCUAAUAACCAAUCAGAUUCAGUCUACCACACUCUGAGCUUCAAUAAUAUUGCAGUAAGCAAUGUAUAUGUGUAAACAAUUCCACUUCAUAUCAUAUUGUGUUUGACUGUGUAAGUGACAAAUAAAAUUUUUCAUUUGAAUUAAAGAAAUCUUCUUUUCUCUUUUUGGUAAUCAUCCACAAUUCUGUCAUUUUUUUAUUAUUAUUUUUUUAUUUCUGUAAAGUUCCUUUGGUG
Clarias gariepinus (North African catfish) is the source of this 503-nucleotide long non-coding RNA. RefSeq lists it as uncharacterized. Lineage: Eukaryota; Metazoa; Chordata; Actinopteri; Siluriformes; Clariidae. The record is from RefSeq and is a predicted model, not a curated record. The transcript has 3 exons.